This 288-nucleotide unclassified non-coding RNA is filed under the name Hevea brasiliensis (rubber tree). The record is from RNAcentral. Lineage: Eukaryota; Viridiplantae; Streptophyta; Magnoliopsida; Malpighiales; Euphorbiaceae.
UGUCAUUUCACUCCUUACCCAUCACUGCUCCAAGUCCUUAUUGACCCAUCUCCAUUCUCUCCUUCCUUUCCUCCGCUGGCCAAGCAAUUCCCUUUAGCCUUCGCCGUUGUUUCACUCAUUAUCCAUCAACGCUCUAAGUCCUUAUUGACCUAUCUCCUUUAGCCUUUGCUGUCGUUUCACUCCUUACCCAUCACCGCUCCAAGUCGUUGUUAACCCAUCUCCACUCUCUCCUUUCAACCUUGCCCAGCUUUGUUUGAUUAUUAAUAAACAGCGAAAACACAUAUUCAA